RNAcentral lists this ribosomal RNA (443 nucleotides) under uncultured bacterium. RNAcentral's name for it is "partial 16S ribosomal RNA". It matches the Rfam family "Bacterial small subunit ribosomal RNA", at positions 338 to 795 of the family's 1533-position model. The record is from RNAcentral.
CCUACGGGAGGCUGCAGUGGGGGAUAUUGGACAAUGGGGGGAACCCUGAUCCAGCGACGCCGCGUGAGUGAAGAAGUAUUUCGGUAUGUAAAGCUCUGUCAGCAGGGAAGAAAGAAAUGACGGUACCUGACCAAGAAGCCCCGGCUAACUACGUGCCAGCAGCCGCGGUAAUCCGUAGGGGGCAAGCGUUAUCCGGAAUUACUGGGUGUAACGGGAGCGUAGACGGUUAAGUAAUUCUGGAGUGAAAGGCCGGGGCCCAACCCCGGGACUGCUCUGGAAACUAUUGAACUUGAGUGCAGGAGAGGGAAGCGGAAGUCCUAGUGUAGCGGUGAAAUGCGUAGAUAUUAGGAGGAACACCAGUGGCGAAGGCGGCUUACUGGACUGUAACUGACGUUGAGGCUCGAAAGCGUGGGGAGCAAACAGGAUUAGAUACCCUGGUAGUC